AGCGGGAUAGAGCAGUUGGUAGCUCGUUGGGUUCAUUGCCCAAAGGUCGGGGGUUCAAGUCCCUCUCCCGCCA
RNAcentral lists this transfer RNA (73 nucleotides) under Parabacteroides sp. OttesenSCG-928-B22. RNAcentral's name for it is "tRNA-Met". It matches the Rfam family "tRNA". Rfam says of the family: Transfer RNA (tRNA) molecules are approximately 80 nucleotides in length. Their secondary structure includes four short double-helical elements and three loops (D, anti-codon, and T loops). Lineage: Bacteria; Pseudomonadati; Bacteroidota; Bacteroidia; Bacteroidales; Tannerellaceae. The record is from RNAcentral.